RNAcentral lists this ribosomal RNA (497 nucleotides) under uncultured bacterium. RNAcentral's name for it is "partial 16S ribosomal RNA". It matches the Rfam family "Bacterial small subunit ribosomal RNA", at positions 28 to 507 of the family's 1533-position model. The record is from RNAcentral.
GAUGAACGCUGGCGGCGUGCCUAAUACAUGCAAGUAGAACGCUGAAGGAAGGAGCUUGCUCUUUCCGGAUGAGUUGCGAACGGGUGAGUAACGCGUAGGUAACCUGCCUGGUAGCGGGGGAUAACUAUUGGAAACGAUAGCUAAUACCGCAUAACAGUAGAUGUUGCAUGAUAUCUACUUAAAAGGUGCAAUUGCACCACUACCAGAUGGACCUGCGUUGUAUUAGCUAGUUGGUGAGGUAACGGCUCACCAAGGCGACGAUACAUAGCCGACCUGAUAGGGUGAUCGGCCACACCGGGACUGAGACACGGCCCAGACGCCUACGGGAGGCAGCAGUAGGGAAUCUUCGGCAAUGGACGGAAGUCUGACCGAGCAACGCCGCGUGAGUGAAGAAGGUUUUCGGAUCGUAAAGCUCUGUUGUAAGAGAAGAACGAGGGUGAGAGUGGAAAGUUCACACUGUGACGGUAUCUUACCAGAAAGGGACGGCUAACUACGUG